AUUGUGAGCUUGAUGAGUAGGGCGGGACACGUGGUAUCCUGUCUGAAUAUGGGGGGACCAUCCUCCAAGGCUAAAUACUCCUGACUGACCGAUAGUGAACCAGUACCGUGAGGGAAAGGCGAAAAGAACCCCGGCGAGGGGAGUGAAAAAGAACCUGAAACCGUGUACGUACAAGCAGUGGGAGCACGCUUAGGCGUGUGACUGCGUACCUUUUGUAUAAUGGGUCAGCGACUUAUAUUCUGUAGCAAGGUUAACCGAAUAGGGGAGCCGAAGGGAAACCGAGUCUUAACUGGGCGUUAAGUUGCAGGGUAUAGACCCGAAACCCGGUGAUCUAGCCAUGGGCAGGUUGAAGGUUGGGUAACACUAACUGGAGGACCGAACCGACUAAUGUUGAAAAAUUAGCGGAUGACUUGUGGCUGGGGGUGAAAGGCCAAUCAAACCGGGAGAUAGCUGGUUCUCCCCGAAAGCUAUUUAGGUAGCGCCUCGUGAAUUCAUCUCCGGGGGUAGAGCACUGUUUCGGCAAGGGGGUCAUCCCGACUUACCAACCCGAUGCAAACUGCGAAUACCGGAGAAUGUUAUCACGGGAGACACACGGCGGGUGCUAACGUCCGUCGUGAAGAGGGAAACAACCCAGACCGCCAGCUAAGGUCCCAAAGUCAUGGUUAAGUGGGAAACGAUGUGGGAAGGCCCAGACAGCCAGGAUGUUGGCUUAGAAGCAGCCAUCAUUUAAAGAAAGCGUAAUAGCUCACUGGUCGAGUCGGCCUGCGCGGAAGAUGUAACGGGGCUAAACCAUGCACCGAAGCUGCGGCAGCGACGCUU
Molecule: ribosomal RNA, 819 nt
Filed under: Shigella sonnei
Lineage: Bacteria; Pseudomonadati; Pseudomonadota; Gammaproteobacteria; Enterobacterales; Enterobacteriaceae
Description: partial 23S ribosomal RNA
Rfam family: Bacterial large subunit ribosomal RNA
Source: RNAcentral